CCUACGGGUGGCUGCAGUGGGGAAUUUUGGACAAUGGGGGCAACCCUGAUCCAGCCAUUCCGCGUGAGUGAAGAAGGCCUUCGGGUUGUAAAGCUCUUUUGUCCGGAGCGAAACGGGCGGCCCUAAUACGGUCGUCUACUGACGGUACCGGAAGAAUAAGCACCGGCUAACUACGUGCCAGCAGCCGCGGUAAUACGUAGGGUGCGAGCGUUAAGUGGAAUGACUGGGCGCGGUGCGUGAGGAGACGGGUGAAAUCCCGGGGCUCAACCUGGGAAUGGCAUUUGGGACUGCAAGGCUGGAGUGUGGCAGAGGGGACUAGAAUUCCUGGUGUAGCAGUGAAAUGCGUAGAUAUCAGGAGGAAUACCGAUGGCGAAGGCAGGUCCCUGGGUUAACACUGACGCUCAUGCACGAAAGCGUGGGGAGCAAACAGGAUUAGAUACCCUGGUAGUC
This 450-nucleotide ribosomal RNA is filed under the name uncultured bacterium. RNAcentral's name for it is "partial 16S ribosomal RNA". It matches the Rfam family "Bacterial small subunit ribosomal RNA", at positions 338 to 795 of the family's 1533-position model. The record is from RNAcentral.